Molecule: ribosomal RNA, 168 nt
Filed under: Tremellomycetes sp.
Lineage: Eukaryota; Fungi; Basidiomycota; Tremellomycetes
Description: partial large subunit ribosomal RNA
Rfam family: Eukaryotic large subunit ribosomal RNA
Source: RNAcentral
CGGGAUGAGCUCAAAUUUGUAAUCUGGUGGACUCAGUUCAUCCGAAUUGUAAUCUAUAGAAAAGUUUUCCGCGCUGGACCGUGUCUAAGUCCCUUGGAACAGGGUGUCAGAGAGGGUGAGAAUCCCGUGCUUGAUACGACCACCAGUGCUAUGUGAUACUUUUUCAAC